UACGGAGGGUGCAAGCGUUAUCCGGAUUCACUGGGUUUAAAGGGUGCGUAGGCGGGCAGGUAAGUCAGUGGUGAAAUCUCCGAGCUUAACUCGGAAACUGCCAUUGAUACUAUUUGUCUUGAAUAUUGUGGAGGUAAGCGGAAUAUGUCAUGUAGCGGUGAAAUGCUUAGAUAUGACAUAGAACACCCAUUGCGAAGGCAGCUCACUACCCGAAUAUUGACUCUGAGGCACGAAAGCGUGGGGAUCAAACAGG
RNAcentral lists this ribosomal RNA (253 nucleotides) under uncultured bacterium. Its description in RNAcentral is "partial 16S ribosomal RNA". It matches the Rfam family "Bacterial small subunit ribosomal RNA", at positions 524 to 776 of the family's 1533-position model. The record is from RNAcentral.